GCGWUGUCCGGAAUUAUUGGGCGUAAAGCGCGCGNAGGCGGUCMWUUAAGUCUGAUGUGAAAGCCCACGGCUMAACCGUGGAGGGUCAUUGGAAACUGGGGGACUUGAGUACAGAAGAGGAAAGCGGAAUACCACGUGUAGCGGUGAAAUGCGUAGAGAUGUGGAGGAACACCAGUGCGUAAUCGGCUUUCUGGUCUGUAACUUACGCUGAGGCGCGUAAAGCGUGGGGAGYAAACAGUAUUAGAUACCCUGGUAGUCCWCGCCGUAAACGAUGAGUGCUAAGUGUUAGGGGGUUUNMGCCCCUUAGUGCUGCAGCUAACGCAUUAAGCACUCCGCCUGGGGAGUACGGCCGCAAGGCUNAAACUCAAAGGAAUUGACGGNGGCCCGCACAAGCGGUGGAGCAUGUG
This 407-nucleotide ribosomal RNA is filed under the name Bacillus sp. BDP-96-2_1-5. RNAcentral describes it as "partial 16S ribosomal RNA". It matches the Rfam family "Bacterial small subunit ribosomal RNA", at positions 538 to 943 of the family's 1533-position model. The record is from RNAcentral. Lineage: Bacteria; Bacillati; Bacillota; Bacilli; Caryophanales; Bacillaceae.